This is a non-coding RNA of Vigna umbellata (rice bean), 1256 nucleotides long. Lineage: Eukaryota; Viridiplantae; Streptophyta; Magnoliopsida; Fabales; Fabaceae. The record is from RefSeq and is a predicted model, not a curated record.
GCAAGCCCUAAAUCGUGUAUCCAUAAGCUUCUUUCUAAUGAGAUUUUCCCGCAAGCUGUACCCGCAAGCUUCUUUUUUCUGCUAUGAUUCUUCAAACAAAGGCUCUUAUUGUUCGUGGAGCUCUUCGGUUUGGGUUCGUCUUUGUCUUCCGUUGCUUAGGAACAAAAACCUGGUGCAUUUCUGGGUUGAACGAGUUCGACCGUCAAUGUAUUGUUCGUCGAAGGUCCUGGUGCCUCCAAUCGAGGGGCUCUAGCGUGUGUUCGCUCCCACACCGACCAUCAAGUAAUGUGGUCAAGCUUCGCUCUCUCUGCUUUUGCCUCUCUGAGAUGUUUUUGUCAUGUCCAAGGUAUAAUAAUUUGUUACAAAAUAAUCCUAUCAUAGUGAAAUUGAUUCCUGCAAUUGGCGUUAUCAAUUUUGCAAUAUAGGGUGUUGGUCCAUUAUUGUUCCAGACAAGGAAAAUACUCUUCCAGAGGAGUGAUAAUAGUUGGAAGAAAAGUACCACUGACUAUAUAGUAACUUCUUACCUUCCGCCAUUACUGUUAUGGACUGGAGCAAUACUUAUUUGCAGAGCAUUGGAGCCAUUAAUUCUACCUUCAGAACCUGAUCAGGUUGUUAAGGACCGGCUUCUGAAUUUUGUGAGAUCAUUAUCAACGGUUCUGGCCUUUGCCUAUUGUUUAUCAAGGAAAAAAAAUUCAAACAUAUGAAUCUACAACAUCGUCUCAAUCAAAAGAAAUAUCAAGUUUAGAUUCAUUGGCUCAUGUUUUAGGAAGCCAAGAGCAUUGUGGACGUGUUCGCGGUCUAGGUUUAGGUCCUUGUCCAUCUAAAGUCUUUGGAGUUCAUGCUCGUUCUCAUAUUGGAUCAUCUUCAUCUACUCCUUCUAAUGUUGAAUUACAAUCUCAGGUAUCUUCAUUGACUUCUUCUAAUGUUAAAUUAGAAUCUCAGGUAUCUUCAUUGAUAUCACAAGUCAAUGAAAUGAAGGCAAUGAUGACACUUUUGUUGCAAAAUCAUCAAGGUCCAUUGCCUUCAUAGUUUGCAUUAUUUCAACGAUCAUCGGUAUCUGAUCAAGGGAGUGGGCCAAACAAUGGAUGUAAUGAAGAAGAAAAUUAGAUAUUGUUAGUGAAUAUCUUUAUGAGUCAUACUUUUAGUAUUGAACAUUUGUAUUGAACAUCUAUAUUGAACAUAUGUAAUGAACAUCUUUCUUUUUAAUUUUUAUGUAUGAACAAUUAGUUGUAUGAAUGAUAUUAGGUUGAACAAUG